GUAGGUGAACCUGCGGAAGGAUCAUUACAUAUCGAGCCAGUUUCCACGUCGAAGAUGGCGGAACGGAGAUCGCAGAUCGAAGAUCUGUGGUCGAUGAUCCGACGUCGAAGAUGAUGGAAACGGCGCAAACAUCCUGUUGAAAUACUAUUGUUGCCGGAUUGAAAUCGAUUGUGAACAUUCAUGACCGAUCGAGCUACGGCAAUGAUUUGAACAAACCAUAUGAUAGCAUACAAGGAUAGAUUGAUAAAUG
RNAcentral lists this unclassified non-coding RNA (250 nucleotides) under plant metagenome. Its description in RNAcentral is "partial contains small subunit ribosomal RNA, internal transcribed spacer 1, and 5.8S ribosomal RNA". The record is from RNAcentral.